Molecule: long non-coding RNA, 583 nt
Organism: Phragmites australis (common reed)
Lineage: Eukaryota; Viridiplantae; Streptophyta; Magnoliopsida; Poales; Poaceae
Exons: 3
Source: RefSeq, a predicted model, not a curated record
AGCACUUGUACUAGCUGUAAAGGGCUCUCCGUUGCAGUGGGAGGAACUCAUAAAGUGUGCCACUGAGUGUGGGUUGGAUACAACGAAGGGUCUCUCACUUGAUGUUUCAACUAGGUGAAAUUCAACCUAUCUGAUGCUGAGGGAUGCCUUGUACUACAAGCCUGCUUUUGUGAGGCUUAAGUCCUCGGAUCGCCGUAGAUUCCAAGAAAUUUUCUUCCAUUGUGGAUGAUCUCGAGGUUCUAGAGACCAUUUCUAAUAAACUGAUGCAUGAGGAGAAAGAAGAAGAAAUAGCAAGUGAUCCAGAUGUGAUGAAUGAUUAUGAGCAGCUGUAGGCCGAGAGUGAUUGAAGAAUGUUUAUGUUCAUGUUUUGUUGUCCUAUUAUUGUCAUAUGUUGACGUUGUGGUGGACUAGUGGUUCGAUGUUAUUAUGUUAAGACUUUGUGUGGUUGUAUGGAUAUUUAUACUAUCGUUCACUUAUAUAUCUGUUUGAGACUUAUUGUUUGUGUGGUUAAAUAUAUACAUGUCAUCGUUAUGUUAUAUCACAUGUUAUCUCACUAAGCAUGGAUGAUGCAUUUAUUGUAGUC